This 494-nucleotide ribosomal RNA is filed under the name uncultured bacterium. RNAcentral describes it as "partial 16S ribosomal RNA". It matches the Rfam family "Bacterial small subunit ribosomal RNA", at positions 28 to 507 of the family's 1533-position model. The record is from RNAcentral.
GACGAACGCUGGCGGCGUGCUUAACACAUGCAAGUCGAACGGUGAAGCGCCUUCCUUUUUGGUGGGUGUGGAUGAGUGGCGAACGGGUGAGUAACACGUGAGUAACCUGCCCCCUUCUUCUGGAUAACCGCAUGAAAGUGUGGCUAAUACGGGAUAUUCUGGGUCUGUCGCAUGAUGGGUCUGGGAAAGAUAUUGUUUCGGUGGGGGAUGGGCUCGCGGCCUAUCAGCUUGUUGGUGGGGUGAUGGCCUACCAAGGCGGUGACGGGUAGCCGGCCUGAGAGGGUGGACGGUCACACUGGGACGGAGACACGGGCAAGACUCCUACGGGAGGCAGAAGUGGGGAAUAUUGAACAAUGGGCGCAAGCCUGAUGCAGCGACGCCGCGUGAGGGAUGGAGGCCUUCGGGUUGUGAACCUCUUUCGCCAGUGAAGCAGGCCUGCCUCGUUUGUGGGUGGGUUGACGGUAGCUGGAGAAGAAGCGCCGGCUAACUACGUG